GGCCGUGUAGCGUAAUGGUUAACGCGCUAAUUUCCGGCGUAGAUCAGAUAGCUAGAGAUUCCGAGUUCGAGUCUCGGCAUGGUCG
This is a non-coding RNA of Armillaria borealis, 85 nucleotides long. NCBI's taxonomy places the organism in Eukaryota, Fungi, Basidiomycota, Agaricomycetes, Agaricales, Physalacriaceae. The record is from the annotation of a GenBank genome assembly.